RNAcentral lists this ribosomal RNA (580 nucleotides) under uncultured rumen bacterium. RNAcentral describes it as "bacterial SSU rRNA". It matches the Rfam family "Bacterial small subunit ribosomal RNA", at positions 185 to 764 of the family's 1533-position model. The record is from RNAcentral.
AAGACAUCUGAAGAAUACCAAAGGUUUACCGCUAUAGGAUGGGGAUGCGUCUGAUUAGGUAGUAGGCGGGGUAACGGCCCACCUAGCCGACGAUCAGUAGGGGUUCUGAGAGGAAGGUCCCCCACAUUGGAACUGAGACACGGUCCAAACUCCUACGGGAGGCAGCAGUGAGGAAUAUUGGUCAAUGGACGGAAGUCUGAACCAGCCAAGUAGCGUGCAGGAUGACGGCCCUAUGGGUUGUAAACUGCUUUUAUAUAGGGAUAAAGUCGGGGACGUGUCCCCGUUUGUAGGUACUAUAUGAAUAAGGACCGGCUAAUUCCGUGCCAGCAGCCGCGGUAAUACGGAAGGUCCAGGCGUUAUCCGGAUUUAUUGGGUUUAAAGGGAGCGCAGGCUGAUGAUUAAGCGUGACGUGAAAUGUAGCCGCUCAACGGCUGAACUGCGUCGCGAACUGGUUAUCUUGAGUGAGUUCGAUGUUGGCGGAAUUCGUGGUGUAGCGGUGAAAUGCUUAGAUAUCACGAAGAACUCCGAUUGCGAAGGCAGCCAACAAGGCCUUUACUGACGCUAAAGCUCGAAGGUGCGG